Molecule: long non-coding RNA, 1552 nt
Organism: Wyeomyia smithii (pitcher-plant mosquito)
Lineage: Eukaryota; Metazoa; Arthropoda; Insecta; Diptera; Culicidae
Exons: 4
Source: RefSeq, a predicted model, not a curated record
UCGGUGCAUUUUGUCGAACAAAUAUUUGGCCAAAUGAUCUCUCAAAUGUUAAUUCUUGUGGUAGUUCCAUUUCUGUAGAUUCAGUUAGAAGUUCAUCGAGUGUGGACAGGAUGGUUUUGAAGAAGGUGAGUAGAAAUGAAAUUAUAUAAUUUCACUCUUUUCUGUUCCAGGCUGUGAUAUUUCAUGAUGCGACAUAGCCAAUGAUUAUGCGGAUCCCGUAGUUUUCAGCAUAGCCAAAGGAUAUGUGAGACGACGGCAUUUAAAUUCUAUUGUUUCGUUUCGAGUUGGUUUCUAGUGAACGGUCAGUUAAUUCAUAGGAACUGGACCCUCUCUUCGCGGUUAUGAUACACGGAACAUACUGAGGACCUAAUUUGGCAUUGAAGGCCUUGCUUGCAGCUGACUUCCCAAACGUCCGUUUGAAUACUCGCUGUCCGAUGUUGAAUGAUGGUAUGGUUGAAACAUUGGCAGCAAGCAUCGCUACCCUACAAUCGUCGCGAGUGUUACGAAAAAGGACAUCAAAUUUCCGUUUCUCAUCCCAAGGACAUGAUAAGCUGCGAAAGAUCCGGACCAUGUCUAAGUAGUAGUCCUGGAAUUUUUCUCUGGCACCCCGCUUCCGGUUAUUCGCACGCUGUUCGUAGAAGUAAUCGAUAUCCACCGGCGACAGACCGAUUAUCGAUCCAGUGUCGAAUCCAGAAUACGUCGCCAUGUCCCUCGGUCUUGGGCUGCUAUCCUCCAAUCGCCCCUAACACCUAUUUCGCGUGCAUCCUCGUCGACAGCACACAUCCAACGAGUGCGGGGUCUACCUAAAAGUUGACGACCUCUAUCGGGAUUCCUGCUAAAUAUAGCCUUCGCUUGACGCUCAUCCGGCAUUCUCGCUACAUGCCCAGCCCACUGAAGCCUGCCGUGUUUUAUCCGCUUGACUAUAUCCGCCGAUUUGUAUGCCUGGUACACUUCAUGGUUCAUGCGUCUGCGCCAAACACCAUUUUCUAGUUUGCCGCCAAGGAUUGAACGCAAAAUCCUACGCUCAAAAACACCAAGAGCUCGCCGAUCAGCCUCUUUCAGCGUCCAUGAUUCAUGGCCGUAGAGAGCCACCGGAAGAAUCAGUGUUUUAUAGAGUGCAAGUUUAGUACGGAUUUGCAGACUGCGGGACCUUAUGUGACGUCACACCCUGCGAAGAACCCAAUGCUCCGUCACGAGCCUUAUAAUUAAAGUUUAAUUUUGUUCCUAGGAGGGCAUAGCCUUCUGCUAUGCUUUAGUCAGGCGAAACAUUUGGUUCCCUUGACAGAGGACCGCGAACGUCUCUGUCAACACUCUAUGUAUCAACAGAUUAUGCCACAGGUGGCAAAGAACUUCGCGCAGCCUUCUGCUGUGCUACAGGCAAACAAACUCGAAUAAAAUAAACAAGUUUUGUGUUAUAAACAAAACAGAAGUCGCCGGUUCAACGGUGUUGAUGCUCUCGCAUGCGUUCUAUCGUACAUGCGGUACUAGAUUAUAGGUUAAGAGAUUAGUAAGGUAAACAGAGAGUGGAGAAAGUCUCUCUCUCUGAGUUACC